AGCAGCCGCGGUAAUUCCAGCUCCAAUAGCGUAUAUUAAAGUUGUUGCAGUUAAAAAGCUCGUAGUUGAAUUUCGGGAUCAGUACGCUGGUCGUGCCUUUGGUAUGCACUGGUGUCACUGGUUCCUCCCUUCUGAAGAACUGUCAUGCCAUUAAUUUGGUGUGGCGGGGAAUCAGGACUGUUACUUUGAAAAAAUUGAGUGUUUAGAGCAGGCUCGCGCUUGAAUACAUUAGCAUGGAAUAAUGAAAUGGACGUUUGAUCCUAUUUUGUUGGUUUCUAGGAUCGACGUAAUGAUUAAUAGGGAUAGUUGGGGGCAUUAGUAUUCAAUUGUCAGAGGUGAAAUUCUUGGAUUUGUUGAAGACUAACUACUGCGAAAGCAUUUGCCAAGGAUGUUUUCAUUAAUCAAGAACGAAAGUUAGGGGAUCGAAGACGAAUCAGAUACCGU
This 444-nucleotide ribosomal RNA is filed under the name uncultured Glomus. RNAcentral's name for it is "SSU rRNA". It matches the Rfam family "Eukaryotic small subunit ribosomal RNA", at positions 569 to 1018 of the family's 1831-position model. The record is from RNAcentral. Lineage: Eukaryota; Fungi; Glomeromycota; Glomeromycetes; Glomerales; Glomeraceae.